CUUCUUUGACCAUAGGGCGUAUGUGGAUGCAACGAAACCCCAGUGUUGCUUAGUAACCUGAUGCCACUGACAGAGUACACUGUGACCAUCUUGGCUUUGUAUGAUGGGGGUCGCCAAGCCAAGCCCCUGACUGGCUGAUUUACCACCAAGACAGUCCCAGAGCCUCUGAACCUAAAGACCAUUGAAGUAUCCACAGAGAGCUUCAGGGUCACCUGGGAACACUCAGCCCAAGACGUGGUCCUCUACAGACUCACCUGGACCCCAACCAGAGGAGGAGACACUAAAGAGAUGCUGGUGAAUGGUAACAUGAACACCUACCCUCUGACUGGACUGACUCCCAACACUGAAUACAAGGUUGCCGUGUCCUCCACCUUCAGAGACAAGUUCGAAAGUGACGCCGUGACCAUCAAAUAGUCAACAGGUAAACUACAGGGGAGCGUGAGGCAACUCCAUUGAAGAAAAAGAGGUCCAGAACCCUCUGCUGGGAAAGGAUGGAGCUAAUGUGUGAUUUAUGCUGCUUUAAAAUGGAUUCUUGCAUCAUCUAUCCAUAAUGUAAAACUAGAUACGCUUUUUAUUUGGAUCAUUUAUAUUCUGUAUACUUAAGAUCCUGACAUGAUCCUACUAUAUCAUACUAUUAUAUUUGCCAUUCUAUUAUAACUAUCCUAUUAUACAUCCUGCGAAGUAAGUAAUGUACCUAUACUGCAUUUGCAAAAGCGUUACAGCCUUGUCUUGUAACUAUUUGGUACACCUUCUAUCACCAGAGGGAUAUGUUUACAAUAUAUACUGUAGACAUGAGUUUUCCAAAUGAAAUAUUAAAGGCAUGACAAUGAGCGAACACA
Oncorhynchus tshawytscha (Chinook salmon) is the source of this 839-nucleotide long non-coding RNA. RefSeq lists it as uncharacterized. NCBI's taxonomy places the organism in Eukaryota, Metazoa, Chordata, Actinopteri, Salmoniformes, Salmonidae. The record is from RefSeq and is a predicted model, not a curated record. The transcript is spliced from 4 exons.